This 79-nucleotide transfer RNA is filed under the name Pseudomonas paraeruginosa PA7. RNAcentral's name for it is "tRNA-Pro". It matches the Rfam family "tRNA". Rfam says of the family: Transfer RNA (tRNA) molecules are approximately 80 nucleotides in length. Their secondary structure includes four short double-helical elements and three loops (D, anti-codon, and T loops). The record is from RNAcentral. Lineage: Bacteria; Pseudomonadati; Pseudomonadota; Gammaproteobacteria; Pseudomonadales; Pseudomonadaceae.
UCGGGGUAUAGCGCAGUCCGGUAGCGCGCCUGCUUUGGGAGCAGGAUGUCGGGAGUUCGAAUCUCUCUACCCCGACCAC